CUUAUACCCCCUCCGUUUGAAAAUACCUGUCCUAGAAAUAGAUGUAUCUAGACUUAUUUUAGUUAUAGAUACAUUUAUUUUAUUUAUUUCUAGGACAAGUAUUUCCGAACAGAGGGAGUAAGCA
Molecule: microRNA precursor, 124 nt
Filed under: Hordeum vulgare
Lineage: Eukaryota; Viridiplantae; Streptophyta; Magnoliopsida; Poales; Poaceae
Description: microRNA MIR1122
Rfam family: MIR1120/MIR1122 microRNA precursor family
Source: RNAcentral